Molecule: ribosomal RNA, 253 nt
Filed under: uncultured bacterium
Lineage: Bacteria
Description: partial 16S ribosomal RNA
Rfam family: Bacterial small subunit ribosomal RNA
Source: RNAcentral
UGCGGGGGGGGCGAGCGUUGUUCGGAAUUACUGGGCGUAAAGGGCUCGUAGGCGGCCUACUAAGUCAGACGUGAAAUCCCUCAGCUUAACCGGGGAACUGCGUCUGAGACUGGAAGGCUUGAAUCCGAGAGAGGGAUGUGGAAUUCCAGGUGUAGCGGUGAAAUGCGUAGAUAUCUGGAGGAACACCGGUGGCGAAGGCGGCAUCCUGGACCGGUAUUGACGCUGAGGAGCGAAAGCCAGGGGAGCAAACGGG